Molecule: long non-coding RNA, 414 nt
Filed under: Vigna radiata
Lineage: Eukaryota; Viridiplantae; Streptophyta; Magnoliopsida; Fabales; Fabaceae
Description: long non-coding RNA (VRAD_LNC002577)
Source: RNAcentral
CUCGUUCCCGUCGUCGGUGUCGGCAUCAGUUUUUCUGGCGGCGACGCGGCACUUCACGAUGGACCUCGCGAUGACAUCUUGAUUGGGAGAAGGAGGGUGUUUUUGUCUCGUGCGACGAUGAUGGUCGCGGUCGCCGACGAGGAUGAGAUGACGAGACCUCGACGGCGACGUAGGGCGGCGAUUCGAUGGCUGGCUCUGGUUGCAGAGGUGAUAGGUUGUGGCCCGCGGCGGCUAGUCAGGUGUGUGAGUGACGGAGUUCGAGAGAGGGAGACCUAGAAUCUCUGAGGUUUGGAGUUUGAGUGGGAUGCAAAUAAUGGGAAUGAAGGGGAACAAUCUGAACCCCUAGGGUUUCUAGGUAAAACAAUUUGGGCUGUGUCUAAGAAUUAGAAAUACAAUUUAAAAAAUACUAAUUCC